UUUUUUUUUUUUUUUUUUUUUGCCAUGUGUACUAAUAUUCCGUGUUAAACUACUGGAAUGGUUUAUUGCCUUAAUUUAAAUUGUUGCAGUUAUGACUGACAGCAUUCGUAUACAAUCCUAUCUCCUUGAACUGAAGGCAGAUGUUUGGGACUGGAUUCUAAAAAGAGUUUUCAAAUAAUUUGAGAUAUGCAUGCUUAGGUGGAAUUCAGGGCAUCCUGGGAUACCUGAGAUAUCUGUCCAUGGUUAAUACAUCUUCUAUUCUGAACUGGCAGCUGGAAUUCAGGCAAGAUACUUUAGCAUACCUUAAGUGUUACAGAUGAUUAUGUUAAAGCCUUUUAAGUGUUCCCUAGCUGAAACGUAACAGCUGUAUUGUGAGCACAUGAAUUUACACUUCGCAGUCUGUAACUGAAUUGCCACUUCUAAGGUUGGGUGAGUUAAAUCACAGCUAAGCUAUUUGACUUUUAUAUUGCUGGAGAUAAGUGUGAUGAAUCUCACACUUGUGAAUAACAUUCUGAGGAUGGAAGUUUCAAUUAAAAAUAAGAACACACAUAUAAAAGAAGGCAGCCAAAGAGUAUCCUUCAAAUAUCUUUUUCCAUGGUCAAAUCACAUUUUAUUAAAAGAAAACCAGAAUAUUUUAGACAAUACACAAAAUUGAUUAUUUUUAAAAAUGUUUGCUGCUGUAUUGGGACACAGACUGAUCUAUAUAUUUACUUUUAAAUUUUUACAUAAUUUUAAUAUUCAAUCUUACAUUACUUCAAAUCAAAAAGGAGGAUAAUAUCCUAAUAAUAACAAUGGCAACAAUAAAAAUGAGGCUUUUUUUAUUUUCCUGUUUUCCAAGAGUGUUUCUCUAUUGGUUUCAGGAGGACAUCCUCAAUUUAGUAUCACAGAAAUAGAUAAGAAUAAACCAAAGAAUAUCAGCCAAUUUACUUUCAAUAUACUUUCAUAAUUUACUUUCAAUGGUAAAUUAAUUAUGAAAUAAAAUAAAAAUAUAUGCAAUAUUGUCUCAAAUAAACAUGUAAUUUUUUUUUUUGUUUUACUAAUAUCUGUCCAAAAAAGAUCAGUGAAUACAGGAGAAAGAUGAAAGUAAUUAAAUCCAAUUCCUUCUUAGAAAAGUAGCCCUAUUAAUUACAUCAGUUGUGACUGAAAGUUAGAAGCCACGGACUUUGCUCUAGUAUCUGAGUUUGUAGAAUGAGUCUAGUUCUAGUUAGAAUCCACAAAAUACACAGAUCAAUAUAACCACAAUUGACACUAAUUGACAAGUCAAACUGACAGUAUUAAGACAGAGGUCAAGAAACCAGAUACUAACUCUUUUUUUCCUCUCCCUUCCCUCACUAUGACGAAUGGGUUCUGACAAAAGUUCUAACUUUCUGAAAACAUGGGUUAUAUUAAUCAGAUAAAUAGAUAUGCCUAUUAAGAUUUUUUCUUCAUUCAGUUGUGAAGAUGAAUUUCAAUGUACUCCUGAUGAAAUUCUCACAGCUCCAGCAUAGAGUUCUCAUGCUGAGCAAGCCACCUUUGUCUUUCUGUAUAGUCAGUGGGGAGAAUAUGUAACUAUUCCUGUUUAUGUGACAUUUUGGGAUGUGAAGAACAUUUCAGCUGUAAACAUAGACAACAAAUUUAGCUAACUAAAUAAUGUCAUAUGGGUGUAAACUGUUGUGUCUAAACUCUUACUACAGUCAUCAAAGGAACAGCCAUUGUAGAGAAUAGAGAAAAUAGAGAAUAGAUAAUAGAGGAUAAAAUAGAGAAUAAAAAAUAGAGAGUGUCUCAGAUAAUUUUGAACAGAACUUAACACAAAACUCAACUUUUAAAUGUAGUAUUAUUGUUGGGUUUCCUGGAGUAUUCAACAUGACCUCUAGCUGCUACUUGAGAAGGUUACAGUUCUUUUAGAGGUCCUGGAUGUCUGAGAUAUUCUAAGACAUUUCAAACCUGCUGUUUAUGCUUUGGCCAAGAUUAACUUUUUCAUUGACUGUAUGUGGAACUUCAAUCCUUAGUUCACAUUUGGACACCUAUGUUUGUAAGUCUGAAUCUCUAAAUAAGCCUUAUCCAUAUUUAGAGAGAGAUAAAGCAUGUUUUUAAAGUUUUAUUUCUUUCCAUUCACUCUAACAGGAAUCUAGGGCACCUAGUCUAAAUAUAUGACUACAACCAUAAACAGCUGCAUUUCCUCCAAUUAAUUCCACACUUUGAGUCUUUGGCUUGGACCAUCUAUUCCUUUGCUGUAAAAUAACAGUGUGUCUGUGACCUACCUGAAUGGAGAGAGGAAGAUUCAGGUGUCUGAAAUCACCGUCUUACCCCUUGCCUCAGCAGCAUGGAAUUCUGGAAAAUACAAGCCUCAUAACCAUCUGAGCUCUCAGACCCCCAGGGAACCUUUCCUCACUUCAAAAGUCUGUCCCAAUCAAGAAAUGGCCCUAUUGAGCACAGCCAUCCUUACUCUGGAUUAAUCUUGGUGGAGGAGGAGUCAGGGUGGGAAGGAGGAAUAAUAUAGAAGUUUUAGCUCUUAAUAUCUCUGAGUUAUUAAAAGAACAAAUUAAUUCAUGAAAAUACCUGGAAAUUGUUUCCUGUCUUAGGAAGAGCUCUUAUAUGCAGAAAUGUCAUGUUAAUUCUAAAGAAAUCAUGCCAAUGGCUGAUAAUGAGAGAAUUCUUUUGCUUCUUUAUUGCAUCCUUAUAGUAUUUAUUGCACAAAAUUGCAUGUUAUUACCCAAAAUUCCGUGCUGAAGAAAAUGUUGAAAAUUCCUUCUGAUACUAAUAUUGAAGUUAUAAGAAGGAUUAGUAGAGAUCUCAGUAGACUUGAGCACAAAUUGUUUAGAGGAGUCAAAUCUGAUAAGAAAGUUCCUUUGCAUGAUUCAGAAACAAAUUGUAAAAAACAUUUUUAAGUCAAAGUCACUAGAAAUAUCUUCAGAUUUAUAGUAAUUAACGAUAUGCCCUGUUAUCUUCUGUCAGAUUUAAAAGAUUGCAAGAAUCAGAGUUAAAAUGAAAAUGAAUUUGUUUAAGUUAUUUAGCUUUAGAAAUACUAGUGAUUGUUUUAAAUAAAGGCAGUCAUUUGCCUUCUGUCUCUCAUGAAUAAGGCUGUACAACAUAACCACUAUACAUAAUUUAUAGAUAAUGAUUUGGAAAAAAAUCAACUCCCCAAAAGUCUGCAUUGAAAUGUAAUUUUUGUUUGAAGAAAUGUCUGAGAAGGGUGAAGCAGAAUGAGGAAUUUCAUGCUGGAUUUUUCACUACAUUAGGCAGCCUGUGUGCGGCAAACAAAAACAUCUCAAGUUUUUAUUCCUAAAUGAAUCUGAUUCCUGGUAAAUUAUGCAUAUGAACAUAGUUCUGUAAGCAAGUUUUAAUUAUUUUUCAUGUUAAUAUAAUACUUCAAACCAGAUAUUGUACCUGACUAUUAUCAUGACACUAUCUCAUCAGAUUCAUUGUGUUACUAGAAUUUUCACUGAAUUGCCCUAUAGAAUGGUAGAACAGUUUCAAUUUAUUAAUUUUUCUCUUAUUUCUCCAUUAGAGUAAAGUUUCAAGCUUAAAACUUUACAUAUUUUAAACCUUAUUAUCAUAUAAUUUGUGUAACAAGCUAUUUGUAAACUGGGUAGAUCCAGUUUAAACCAGAUGUUACAUUUCUACCUGUUUCCCAGUAUUUUGAAAUAGUCAUGUAGAAUACCAAUUGAAACUUAUAGAUGAGUCUUCAAAAAUAUGGAGGAACAUUUUCAACAGGCAUUGAACUAUCAAAGUCAACAGGAUAAUAAUGUAUUAAUGCCCAACCCAGGAGCUGCUUUACAAAAUGGAAAUUUUUAUUUUGUACUCCAAGUUUGAGCGGAGUCUGAAUUUUCAGACCACAUGCAUAGGCAAGACUAAUUCAAAAGCACUGUCACUUCAGCACAUCUAUAUAAUAGAAAAUCAUCUCAAAUAAAUACAGAGUUUCAACUCAAAGCAGCAAUAAGAUUGGUAGUAGAAUGGAAAAAGGCAAACAAAUGGCUUUGUAUUCAAGUUAAAAAAAAUUAAAAUUAAUACUUUUUAAAUUGCCAGACACUUGAAGCAGGAUUUAAAUUCUUCCGAUCACUUUCUUCCUACUGAUCUUUACAUAAGAAUGUUGUUUGGCAUGCGUUUAGUGUAUCACACAUCCACCCACACAUAAAAUAUGGUAAUCUGAUUUUACUUUGAUGUAUAGUUCUGUAAAUUUGGAUUCAAAUCAAGGAGUGUGAGACUCACUAAUAGUAGAAUUGACUUAUGCCUAUUUAUGGCAUUUUAUGUUAAUGGAAAAAUCAGUAUAAAUGAGGCCUAAUCAAAGUUAAGACUCUGGUUGCUUGGCUAUGUAAAUACCAUAUUCUGGUAUUCAUUGCAUAUUGAAAAAUUCCAUGUAUUCAGUGCAAGAAAUGCAGUAAUGAUGGACAAAUCUUUAACCAAUAGAUUCUGCUUUUAGUUAAUUCCCAGUGUUGAAUUAUAUUAAAAUAAUAUCUAGAACAUAUGUUUUGAAUUAGAGCUGGUAGUUAUGAAUAUUCUGGCUAUUGGAGAGAAGGGUGUGUUCUUUAGAAUCUAAGUUGCUGCUUCCUAUUUUGGGAACUGAAUAACUAUAUACAGCUAAAUUUUUUUUUUUCAUGCCAGAAUUAUGAAAUAAAACAACUAAAUUAGAACCCUAAUGUAUGUGCUUAACAUCAUUCAAGAUAUUUUAGGAUAACUGAGAAAUGUACAUAGUGAUGGCAGAUGUGAACAGGUCUGAAGGCAACUUUACAUCAUUCUUGAGGAAAGAUGGAGACCAGAGAUCACAUCCUAGGACACCUAAAAUGUCACUGACAGCUAUGUAAAUGCACUAGAAUGAGAAGGACACUGACACUAUUAUCAGUUUGUUAAAAAAGCCAGUCUCAAGUCCCUGAACAGCAAGAUCAGGACUGGGAGAAAGUGAUAAUUCCCAUGGUAGAAGAAGGUCCAGCUUGAGACCACCUGAGGAAUAUAAAUAUACACAGGUUUGUGGGAGCUGUUAAAGUGCAUCCCUCAGGUGGAUGAUAAGGGAACUGACUGAUGCAGUUGCCAAGCCACAUUGCUCUCAUUUUUAAAAAGUGCACCAAAGAGGACCUGAUCAGUUUAUCUCAUUUCUGUGCCUGCUAAAACCAUGAAGCACAACCUCCUGGAAAGUAUAUAGAAACACAUGGAAAACACAGAUACGAUUAGAGAAAGGAAAAAUUGUGCUUGACCAAGCAAUUAGCCUUCUAUGGUGGAAUGACUACAUCAGUGGACAGGGAAAGUGCUACUGUUGUCAUUCUGCCUGGACUUCUGUAAAGCCUUUGGUACCAUCCUCUUAUUACUAAAUGCAGAGGCAUGGGCUUGACAGAUGGACUGUUUGAUGGAUAAGGCAUUGGCUGAAUGGCCAUGUCCAAAGAGUUACAGUCAAUGGCUCAAUGUCCGAAAGCAAAACACAGCAGUGUCCUUCAAGGGUCCAUACUGGGGCCAAUACAAUUUAUUGUCUUUAGGAAUAAUAUGGACAGUGGGAUUGAAUGAACCCUCAGCAAAUUUGCAGAUAACACCAAGUUGACUGGUGCAGUUCAUAGGCCUGAAGGAAGGGAUGUCAUCCACAGAAACCUUGAGGAACAGGCCCAUGCGAACCUCAUGAAAAACAACCCUGAUCAUUGAAGCAGUGAUCUUUAAAGCUCCUUUCAAUACAAAACCCUAUGCUCUGAGAUCCCUACUCAGGACCUAAUAUUUUAAUAAUAAUUAGUUUAUCAAUUAAUCAAUAACAAUAAUAAAUUAGUGAUUAUUAUAAAAUACUAGAAAUAAAAAAAAGGAAAAAUUUAGGUAAGAAUGCUGCUUUUAACAUGCCUUAUUAAAUCACAAAAACCAGCCAUCAGAAGACAAGACAGCUAGAUGCUUGCACAGAAAAUUAGUAUAUUUUUUACAGCAUAAGAAAAAAAAUUAAAAAAUCAUUGAAAUUGAUUGUUUAGUUUUUGCAAAGAAAAAAAUAUGCUUAAUCUAGUGCAUUCUUUCUUGAUUAUAUGUUUGAGUCUGAGAAUGAAAACAAGGUAAUAGAGUUUUGGAAGAGCUUUUACAAAAUCAUCAAGAUUUGUGGCACAAGAAACCAGGAUGUAUUCAUACAGAUGGAAGUGAAUGGUUCUUAGCAAUUCACUGUCAGUUUAGAUGGAGCAAAUCUUCCACAGCAUGAACUUAUUCCAGAAGACCGAAAAUUUACAGAAAUGGUGGCUGUCUCUCCAUCUACCUAUCCUUUCCGGUUGGACACCACUAUUUGCAGAGGGCUAGUCUAUGCUCUUUUUGCCGUUCACUCAAUGCAAUGUGCUGGUGUGUUCUAGAAUGCCAUAGAAGUUCUUGAAAGGGAUGUUGGUAUUCUUGAACAUUGAAGGGGUAGAAUGAUGCUACGUCAAAAAAUAAAAGUCACAUUGAUACUUGUAUAUAUUGAAACCAGUUCUGCCAAGGUGACAAUCUAGUGUUGAAUAUGUGAAAGAAGUUAGAGCAAAUAAUGUAUUUUAAUUUUUAACCUUUAUUGGACACUUUUAUAGUAUUUUGUAGUUGCACAAGUGAAAAAGUAAAAUACAUUAAAAUAAUUUAAAAAUGUGAUAAUGCUAGAGGCUGGAUAACAUGGAUAUGUAACAUUUGAUGUAUUUUUCAAAAUAUUCACGAAAUAAUGAUAGUUUUAUUGUCUCAAAUAGUCAGCCAGAUUUUUCACUUUAAUUCAAAUAGUCUGUCCCAGAAAUAAUUUCUCCCAGCUAAACCAUGGCAUAUGUCUCAAUGGCAAGCAAAAUUUUUAACACAGAAAAGCAUUAAUUUUUAUUUUACAGACCUGCAAACAUAUGGGAAGAUUACAUUUUCAGCUGAAUUUCUGAAUUCAGCUAACCAGAGAGCUUCAUUUUAUAAUACGGAUUAUAAAUUGUGCUGGCAAUUAAUCUGUAAUGUGACUAAUCCUUUUUAUUAUCUUAAUAAAAAAUAAAAUAUGUUUCACAUUCUCAGUGGAAAAGCAUUUCAGGAGUUUUUAGCACAGGGACUCAGAAUGCUCAUGUGCAUUCUCCUACACUUAUCUACAAGUUAAUACCUUGAUCUUGCAAUAAAUGUCAUGCAGGGAGAACAUGGCUUUUAAUCCCUCAGCACAGCUAAAAACUUAUAUCUAUGAGGGCUUAUUUUAAAGGCAAGUGCUUUAUUUGAGUGCUUUUACAGCUGAGGAAAUAAGAAGAAACGCACAGCCAUGAACUCUUGAUUGAUACAGGCAAUAAUUUUCUUUUUGGCAGGAAAGUCUGUCAAGAAAAGCAAGUGUGUUUUCUUGGCAUUUAAUGACUACUUAAGUUGAAAAGUAGGUCAAAAGUAGCCAUGUCCUUCUGGCAAUUUCUUCACAAUCAUAAAACUGAAAGCUUACUGAAAUGAGUAGCAGGUAUUGGGCUAAUAUUUAUUUCUUGAGUUGGCUUAUUUUUUUAUAAGUUUCCUCUAUUUAUAUGCAUUGGAAUACUGCAUUUUUAAUAGGUAGUUAGCCGAAUUGAAGUUAAGCAGAUAAUAAUAUUGGCCAAAAUAUUGAAUAAAUUAUUGUUUUAGGAAUGGUAAAUAGACAUGUGUGGUUGUGAUUACGAGAAGAAAUGAGCAGACGCUGGCUCUGACAACUACUAGACAUUCCUCUUUCAAAGGUUCCAUGGUUGCAACCAUGGUUCCUCUUUCCAGGCUGGCAAAGCUCGGAAAAUUUACAGCUGACUACAGAUGGUAUUUCUACAAACAUGCCAAUAGCUAGGAAAAGCAAUGCAGAUAUGUUCUUGUAGCAAUCAAAUCUCUUUCUCUCUGAAAAAUACGGCACAGUAUAUAUUUUUCACAUGUUUUUGUUUAUAUCUACAUUUGAAUUCUUUAGUAAGUAAUUGAAAAAAAUCUGUUUGUUUCUUUAGUUAAAGACUAUCACAAGUAGAAUAUGAGAAACUUUUUUCAAAGAUUGAAUAUUUUUCACUUAAAUUGAAACUUUUUCUAAUACUAUGCAACUACUAUCUGUUACUUGAGCAUGAAGAGGUUUAAUUUGAUGCAACUGAUAGGAAGAAUUUACAUGCUUGUUGUAAAUAUGUCAUCUGUAGCUUAAAAUCUUCCAGAUGCCAUCAUUUCCUCUUCUGCUGCCGACACCAUUGGUAAAUGUAAUUUGCCUAUUUUGUUCACAGGAUAAACUUGAAAUAUUUUGAAUAAAUAUUGGUAGCUGCUGAUAAGUCAAUAUUUCUCCAGCAAGCUUGUACAUUUUUUUCCAUACAACCAAGUACCAAAAAUUGAAGUAGAUCAACUAAGGAUUUUUUCCCUAUUAAAAAUAAUAGUUUCCUCUACUGAAAAACAUCAGGUUCCCUUUUCACCUGUACCAUACUCACUUUCAGAAUGAUUUCAUAAUUUUAUGAAUCCUUUAUAUGCUUAGUUGAUAUUUUUGCCAGGACUUGGUUUCAUAUUCUCCCAUAAAUUUUUAAUACAUAUUUUAGAUAUACUAUCAAAAUGAAAUUUCUAGCUUUCAGCAGCUGAUGCAUUUUCCAGGACAGUGAUAAUACGCUGUUGUUUCCAACUUUUAAUGUACUUAUCUAUAAAUAUAAUUUCUAAAAUAGAAAAAUAUAUCAUCUUCGAUUCAAUUUGAGUGAUGGUUAUAUGUGACAUUUAGAAGGAAAGGACUGUGAAAUUUCACAGGCGUUUUUCUGCAAACCUGAGGUAUUCUAUUUACUAAGGUGGAGAAAUAUAUAUGCAGUAAAAGGCAAGAUAGGGCCAGUGAGGAGUAAAACCACAAUUUGUCAAAUAUUAGGUUUUAUUUGUAUGGCAUUUAAUUUUUUUACAACUUCUCUGCUUCUCUUCAGUCAUUCUCUAAAGGAAGGUUUUCAUUGCGUCUUAGUGUAUUGAUUUUUACUUAUACAAUGGAGCUAAUAGACUAUCAGAACUUAAUUUUGGUAAGUACAUGCAUGUAAAACUGUGAAGUUCUGAAAAAAUGGAAAAAACAAGAUGAAAUAGUACCUUCAAGAGAAUGAAUUCUUUGUUCCUAAGAAAAGUAAAAUUUUAAGGAAAGCAUUUAAAAAAAAUAGCAAUUUUCUAGGGUUCAGAAAUGAUGGAGGUUUUAAAAACUUGAUAUUUCAGAUAUGUAAAUAAUUGACCAGUAAUUUAUUUUUUAAUUGGAAAUCUACACCAAAAGGAUUAUUUUCUGUGAAAAUGUUGAUCAAUCAAUUUAAAGUAAUUAUGUAAGUCUCACUGCUCCACUUCUUUUCUAAUUUCACCUUUAGCAUCCUCUGUUCCUUGUAUUGUCUUAACUUUAUUGUCUUUUUUAUCUUAGCUCCUACGAGUUUGUUUUAGUUUCUAGCCCUAAUCAUCAUAGAGAUAUUAAAACAGACAUAUUUUGUCCUGAAUUGCAUAAUGUGUUUGUCCAAGAGAAAGGAAAAAUAUGUUCUACUCAAAGCAUGACUGCCCCUAUGAUAAGGAAAAAAGCAGCCUCUCCUUCUUGUUUAAGAGACAGAAGCAUCCAGUAGCUCACACCUAGGUAGGUCUGAAACAGCUCUGCAGGCGUCUCCAGCAUGCCAAAGAAUUUUGAGUGUUAUUGGAUAUUUACUAGUGGGUGGCUGUUGCAUACCUAGAUAUCUGUAGAUUGGGAAAUAUCAGGUACCUAUUCAAUCUGUAGUCAUCUACAUAAUAACACCUAAAUUUGUGUAAUUUGAAAGGUGAAUCCCAUCAUGAGAGACCCAACUCAAGAUAUUUAAGGCAAAUCUAUUUAAUAAUUUUCUUUACCUGGAUUCGUGACAUGAGGAUACAUAUUUGUGGGUUUUCAGUUGCUUACAGAAAGACAAAGGAUCCUCCAUUAGAUGUCCUUGUCUAGAAUCCCUUCUUCCUAUGGAAAUAAGAGUAUUUUUAAUAUAAACUUGUCUGAAUUUGAGUUAUAAUUAAAGAAACAAAUACAAUAUACUUUAUUUAGUAUUGGAAAUAGGGAGUUAUCCAUAAAAAUAAUGAAUUUAGGGACCUUUUUAGACACAUACAGGUAUUAUUUGAUGCUGAAAAUAAAAAUUAAUAUAUGCAAAGAAUGAAGACAUUUUAAAUACUUGAUUUUGGGUGACUGCAUUAUUCAUAGGAAACAAAUACUAAAACAAAAUAUGUCUUUAAUCCCAGUCACACUGAAGAUUUUAGGAUGAUGUGAUGAAAAUUCACUGGUGAGAAAAAAAAAAAAAA
RNAcentral lists this long non-coding RNA (10119 nucleotides) under Taeniopygia guttata (zebra finch). Its description in RNAcentral is "lncRNA (ENSTGUG00000023388.1)". The record is from RNAcentral. Lineage: Eukaryota; Metazoa; Chordata; Aves; Passeriformes; Estrildidae.